UGGGGAAUUUUGGACAAUGGGGGCAACCCUGAUCCAGCAAUGCCGCGUGAGUGAAGAAGGCCUUCGGGUUGUAAAGCUCUUUUGUCCGGGAAGAAAUCCCAUCCCUGAAUACGGGGUGGGGAUGACGGUACUGGAAGAAUAAGCACCGGCUAACUACGUGCCAGCAGCCGCGGUAAUACGUAGGGUGCAAGCGUUAAUCGGAAUUACUGGGCGUAAAGCGUGCGCAGGCGGUUGUGCAAGACCGAUGUGAAAUCCCCGGGCUUAACCUGGGAACUGCAUUGGUGACUGCACGGCUAGAGUGUGUCAGAGGGGGGUAGAAUUCCACGUGUAGCAGUGAAAUGCGUAGAGAUGUGGAGGAAUACCGAUGGCGAAGGCAGCCCCCUGGGAUAACACUGACGCUCAUGCACGAAAGCGUGGGGAGCAAACAGGAUUAGAUACCCUGGUAGUCCACGCCCUAAAACGAUGUCAACUAGUUGUCGGGGAUUAAUUUCCUUGGUAACGCAGCUAACGCGUGAAGUUGACCGCCU
RNAcentral lists this ribosomal RNA (527 nucleotides) under uncultured bacterium. Its description in RNAcentral is "partial 16S ribosomal RNA". It matches the Rfam family "Bacterial small subunit ribosomal RNA", at positions 355 to 874 of the family's 1533-position model. The record is from RNAcentral.